GUGGGGAAUCUUAGACAAUGGGGGAAACCCUGAUCUAGCCAUGCCGCGUGAGCGAUGAAGGCCUUAGGGUUGUAAAGCUCUUUCAGCUGGGAAGAUAAUGACGGUACCAGCAGAAGAAGCCCCGGCUAACUCCGUGCCAGCAGCCGCGGUAAUACGGAGGGGGCUAGCGUUGUUCGGAAUUACUGGGCGUAAAGCGCACGUAGGCGGAUCAGAAAGUCAGAGGUGAAAUCCCAGGGCUCAACCUUGGAACUGCCUUUGAAACUCCUGGUCUUGAGGUCGAGAGAGGUGAGUGGAAUUCCGAGUGUAGAGGUGAAAUUCGUAGAUAUUCGGAGGAACACCAGUGGCGAAGGCGGCUCACUGGCUCGAUACUGACGCUGAGGUGCGAAAGCGUGGGGAGCAAACAGGAUUAGAUACCGAGUAGUCC
RNAcentral lists this ribosomal RNA (424 nucleotides) under uncultured bacterium. RNAcentral's name for it is "partial 16S ribosomal RNA". It matches the Rfam family "Bacterial small subunit ribosomal RNA", at positions 354 to 796 of the family's 1533-position model. The record is from RNAcentral.